This 387-nucleotide ribosomal RNA is filed under the name Macaca mulatta (Rhesus monkey). RNAcentral describes it as "partial 12S ribosomal RNA". It matches the Rfam family "Bacterial small subunit ribosomal RNA", at positions 801 to 1395 of the family's 1533-position model. The record is from RNAcentral. Lineage: Eukaryota; Metazoa; Chordata; Mammalia; Primates; Cercopithecidae.
CCUCAGUAGUUAGAUAACAAAACUACUCGCCAGAAUACUACAAGCUAUAGCUUAAAACUCAAAGGAUUUGACGGUGCUUUACACCCCCUAGAGGAGCCUGUUCCCUAAUCAAUAAACCCCGAUCCACCCCACCCUCUCUUGCUCACCCUAUAUACCGCCAUCUUCAGCAAACCCUAAUGAGGGGCACAAAGUGAACGCAAAUGCCAUUGCCGCAAACACGUUAGGUCAGGGUGUAGCCUAUGAGACGGUAAAAAAUGGGCUACAUUUUCUACCUCAAAAAAUUCCACAAAAACCCUUAUGAAAUUUAAGGGUCCAAGGGGGAUUUAGCAGUAAAUUAAGAAUAGAGUGCUUAAUUGAACCAGGCCAUAAAGGGCGCACCCGCCGCCC